Zea mays is the source of this 2538-nucleotide RNA transcript. RefSeq lists it as uncharacterized. The record is from RefSeq and is a predicted model, not a curated record. Lineage: Eukaryota; Viridiplantae; Streptophyta; Magnoliopsida; Poales; Poaceae. The transcript is spliced from 7 exons.
CUCUGGUCCCUUCCAGAGACGAGUUGAAAAAACACACAAUCAAAAAAGGUGAUUCUGUUAGCGGUUGUCUUCUCCGUCGGCGGCGGCGGCCUGGUAGCGGUCCCUGUCCCAUUGGCCCUCCUUCCCCGAACGUCCCCGCUCUUCUCCACGCCACGUGAUUCUUCCGGUGAGAGGUCCCCGUCGGCGAGAGCAACAGUGCUGACGGUCGCCGCGUCGUGACCCUCCUGCUCCAUGAGUUCGAAUACCCAUUAUUCGUCUGCUCACCCAGAUCUAGCGUAAAAACAUGCUGCUUUGGUGAAGGAGAAAUGCUCAUCAACUGGACCUUCACCAUAUGUCAUUCAUGUCGCCUCAUCACACCAUAGAAAUACAUCUCCAAUUUCUCGGCACUCGCAACACCGACAACAAGAGGGCAGGGGUUCACACCAAGAAUUACCCUGAAGACAAAAAAAAGAAUCCUGGAACCAGAAAAAGGAAACGCCAAGAAUUACCCUGAAGACACAAAAAAAGAAGAAUCCUACACCCAGAAAAGGAGGGCUAUUCUACAACAGAAGGAAAAGAGUAAUGAUUCGCGUUAAUUAAGAGAAACACCAAGAAAAUCGAUAUUCUUCAAUAAGUUUAUGAGGGAUCCCCGCUCUUCUCCACGCCACGUGAUUCUUCCGGUGAGAGGUCCCCGUCGGCGAGAGCAACAGUGCUGACGGUCGCCGCGUCGUGACCCUCCUGCUCCAUGAGUUCGAAUACCCAUUAUUCGUCUGCUCACCCAGAUCUAGCGUAAAAACAUGCUGCUUUGGUGAAGGAGAAAUGCUCAUCAACUGGACCUUCACCAUAUGUCAUUCAUGUCGCCUCAUCACACCAUAGAAAUACAUCUCCAAUUUCUCGGCACUCGCAACACCGACAACAAGAGCCUACGUGAGAAGCUUUCACGGACUACCGCUCUGUCUUGUUUGUAAAUCGGCUCCGUGUGGGAUGAUGGCCCAGUCCGAGCCCAACUUCCACGUGGAAACUGGUCCGGCCUUCGGACAUAGGGUUGGAUUAGAAGUGGAAUAAGAGGAUUUGAGGAAAUUAAAGACAUGUUUGGUUGCCUACCUCAAUUGCCACACUUUGUCUAACUUUUUUUGCCUAAGGUUAGUUAUUCAAUUCGAACGACUAACCUUAGGCAAAGUGUGACACAUUUAGCCACAAACCAAACAUGCCCUAAAUCCUUUAUUAGUUAAAACCAAAUAAAAAAUAUUUAACCCCUUUAAUCGUUUCCUCCGUGGAGCUAAUGGGGCGGGGCACGAGAAAGAAACUACCCCAUUGGGCUUUAAUAUCAGGAACUUGAUAAAAAAACUUUGUGUAUUUAUGUAUUGUGGUUUGUAAGAGUAGGAGACUAUUACUAAGUUAAAAUAAUUGUGACUUGUGAGUUAUAACUUGUAUUAUAAGGAUCUAUUUCAGAUUUAUUUGUCUUAUUAUCUUCUAAAAAUUGAUAUAUUUAUAAUUGUUAUCACACAAUAAAUUUUUUUUUGUGUUAUAGUAUUUCUCCACGGUCUCAAAUGGGGAACUGAGAUUCGUGGGGAUGAGGAUAGGGAUGAGUUUGUCCCGUUAAACUAAAUGGGACGGGGACAGAAAAUAAGUUUCGGGGAACUAGGCGGCCUCACAACCCCACCCGGUUGCCAUCCCUAGAUACCGGUGAAGAUGGUGAGAUUUUGUGUUUAUGGGGUAAUCAAUUGUUGCUCUAGAAUUGUCGCUCAUAUAUUGGGCACACCGAGCCUCCAAAAAUUAAGGUCCUAAUCCAUAAACACUCCACUUAGACUGUUGUUGGUGGGAGACCAUGUCGACUAUGCAAAGGUGAUAUCAACUCUCAUGGUUCGGGCACGCGUAGGUUCGCCUCACCGAUCGGUGCUAAAUCGACCAUCCUUAUUGGUCGGUAGUGUUUGCAUUACAACCGGAAUUGGUCGAUAGAUAUCGACUGGUGCAACAGAAGGUUGGUAUUGACCUGGAUCGGUCGGUAUAGAUCGAUACUAACGCCUGCUCCCAAUAUGUCAUCUUUAAUUAGUCAACUUUGUUUUUUUAUGUUAAAAACUAAAUACAAAAAAACUACAAACUAUCUCUAUGAAUUACGUAACUUUUAUUUUCAUAUAUUACGUAUUUUAUGUUUUAUGAAUUAUAUUAGUUUUAUUUACAGUUUAUAAACUACGUAAUUUGUAAUUUUUAUGAACUAUAUAAUUUUUAUUUGCUUAAUUAUAUACUAAGAUGGAUUUUUAUUUUAAUAAAACGUUGUUUCAUUUUAGAUAAGAGUCUGUAAAAGAAUUUGAUGUGUCAUCGAGGUAGUUGUAAAUGAUAAAAACUGUGCACUAGAGUGUAGCAUAUAAAUGCUGAUGAUGUUAGAUAUAGAUAGAACGAUAGCUGAUGUAGCGAUAGAUAUAUAGGAUCUUAGGGUUGGAACGACUCACUCGAGCACAGUCAUUCAACGACUUCUCCUAUAUACUUCAUGUAUACUAGGUGAGUGCCCGUGCGUUGCAACGGGGACAUAUAAUACUACGGUAACUUAUAUACAAAAUG